GAUGAACGCUAGCGGGAGGCUUAACACAUGCAAGUCGAGGGGCAGCAUAAUGUAGCAAUACGUUGAUGGCGACCGGCGCACGGGUGAGUAACGCGUAUGCAACCUACCCUGUACAGGGGGAUAGCCCGGAGAAAUUCGGAUUAAUACCCCAUAAAGAUAUUUUGAGGCAUCUUGAAAUAUUUAAAGUUCCGGCGGUACGGGAUGGGCAUGCGUAACAUUAGCUAGUUGGUAAGGUAACGGCUUACCAAGGCUACGAUGUUUAGGGGUCCUGAGAGGGUGAUCCCCCACACUGGUACUGAGACACGGACCAGACUCCUACGGGUGGCUG
RNAcentral lists this ribosomal RNA (328 nucleotides) under uncultured Bacteroidota bacterium. Its description in RNAcentral is "bacterial SSU rRNA". It matches the Rfam family "Bacterial small subunit ribosomal RNA", at positions 28 to 351 of the family's 1533-position model. The record is from RNAcentral. Lineage: Bacteria; Pseudomonadati; Bacteroidota.